AACCGCCCCAUGCGGACCGGCUUGUGGGGUGGUGUGGAGGGCUCCUCAGUGAUGGGGAGUCCUAUCCCGAU
This 71-nucleotide unclassified non-coding RNA is filed under the name Desulfocicer vacuolatum DSM 3385. Lineage: Bacteria; Pseudomonadati; Thermodesulfobacteriota; Desulfobacteria; Desulfobacterales; Desulfobacteraceae. The record is from RNAcentral.